UGUACCUUAUNGGCCUUUGUGCCUAUAAAAACUUAUACAACUUUCAGCAACGGAUCUCUUGGCUCUCGCAUCGAUGAAGAACGCAGCGAAAUGCGAUAAGUAAUGUGAAUUGCAGAAUUCAGUGAAUCAUCGAAUCUUUGAACGCACCUUGCGCUCCUUGGUAUUCCGAGGAGCAUGCCUGUUUGAGUGUCAUUAAAUUCUCAACUAUUAUCAGCUUUUGCUGAUGAUGGCUUGGAUAUGGGGGUUUAUUUUGCUGGCUUCACAGAAUGUCAGCUCCCCUUAAAUGCAUUAGCCGGUGCCCCGCGUGGACUGUCUAUUGGUGUGAUAAUUAUCUACGCCGUGGACAUCUACAAUCAUAUCGGUUUGCACUGCUUCCAACCGUCUGUUUACUCAGACAAUACAUGACAAUUGACCUCAAAUCAGU
Molecule: ribosomal RNA, 424 nt
Filed under: uncultured Hebeloma
Lineage: Eukaryota; Fungi; Basidiomycota; Agaricomycetes; Agaricales; Cortinariaceae
Description: eukaryotic LSU rRNA
Rfam family: 5.8S ribosomal RNA (bases 39-192)
Source: RNAcentral